GUUAGGUGGCCGCAGCGCUUACGUGGCGCCGUUAGGAUUCGGCACGUGGAAUUCCGUUAACCCGUGGGUCAAGUUCAAGGAAUUAAAGAUAAAUUAAAAGAUGAACAAAAGGAGACACAUGCAGUGGCAUAAUGGGCAAGAUUUGACUGACAGUGCCCUGCAAGAAUAUGCUGAGGCCCAGAAAGCAAGACAGUUGAAGUUUACUGGUAUUACAAAGACUGGUAUCAUGAAUAUUGUGAACUCAAUCCCAGAGAACAGCAAGCAGAGAAAUAGGCAGGAAAUUCCAGGGUCGCAUAUCUUCUAUCUGUGAAACAACACUUGAAGAUGCAAGCAAGAAAACUGAAGUUACACUGAAGACAAAAGGAAUAUAAAGUCGGGAACGGACUACCUGAAAAAGGGUGCCAACAAUUUCAUGAGAAACGUUGAAAAUGGAUUUGAAUAAAAAAUGUGAAGGAGAAAAACCAGCACCUUGACUAUAACGAUAUUCUGCCCGACCAAGAUCACACUCCAAUCCUCUAGUAUUCCUUGACUUCCCUGCACUUCUGCUGUUCCAGGCUCGACCUUCAAUUUAUGAAACUUUGGCAUGUGCAGGACACAACAUUCAGAAAACAGCUACGUCGAAAUGUAAACAUUCCAUGGGAAACAUUUCAGAAAACCUUAGAAAAAGUAUAAAAGUACAAUAA
Long non-coding RNA from Stegostoma tigrinum, 683 nucleotides. RefSeq lists it as uncharacterized. NCBI's taxonomy places the organism in Eukaryota, Metazoa, Chordata, Chondrichthyes, Orectolobiformes, Stegostomatidae. The record is from RefSeq and is a predicted model, not a curated record. The transcript is spliced from 6 exons.